ACGCUUGAAGUCAGUCGCGUCGGCUUGAAAUCAACCUUGCUUUUGCCUGGUGUACUUUCUUGUUGAUGGGUCAGCAUCAAUUUUGACCGUUGGAUAAAGUCAUUGGGAAUGUGGCAUCUUAGGAUGUGUUAUAGCCCAUUGUCGCAUACAGCGGUUGGGAUUGAGGAACUCAGCACGCCCGCAAGGGACAGGUUUCGACCAUGUUCGUGCUUAGGAUGCUGGCAUAAUGGCUUUAAUCGACCCGUCUUGAAACACGGACCAAGGAGUC
Molecule: ribosomal RNA, 268 nt
Filed under: Inocybe aff. lilacina
Lineage: Eukaryota; Fungi; Basidiomycota; Agaricomycetes; Agaricales; Inocybaceae
Description: partial large subunit ribosomal RNA
Rfam family: Eukaryotic large subunit ribosomal RNA
Source: RNAcentral